This 253-nucleotide ribosomal RNA is filed under the name uncultured bacterium. RNAcentral's name for it is "partial 16S ribosomal RNA". It matches the Rfam family "Bacterial small subunit ribosomal RNA", at positions 524 to 776 of the family's 1533-position model. The record is from RNAcentral.
UACGGAGGGUGCAAGCGUUAUCCGGAUUUACUGGGUUUAAAGGGUGCGCAGGCGGAUAUGUAAGUCAGUGGUGAAAUCUCUAGGCUUAACCUGGAAAUUGCCGUUGAUACUAUAUAUCUUGAAUGCUGUGGAGGUAAGCGGAAUAUGUCAUGUAGCGGUGAAAUGCUUAGAUAUGACAUAGAACACCUAUUGCGAAGGCAGCUUACUACGCAGAUAUUGACGCUCAUGCACGAAAGCGUGGGGAUCAAAUAGG